CUUGAGGCGUGGCUUCCGGAGCUAACGCGUUAAGUCGACCGCCUGGGGAGUACGGCCGCAAGGUUAAAACUCAAAUGAAUUGACGGGGGCCCGCACAAGCGGUGGAGCAUGUGGUUUAAUUCGAUGCAACGCGAAGAACCUUACCUACUCUUGACAUCCACGGAAUUCGGCAGAGAUGCCUUAGUGCCUUCGGGAACCGUGAGACAGGUGCUGCAUGGCUGUCGUCAGCUCGUGUUGUGAAAUGUUGGGUUAAGUCCCGCAACGAGCGCAACCCUUAUCCUUUGUUGCCAGCGAUACGGUCGGGAACUCAAAGGAGACUGCCGGUGAUAAACCGGAGGAAGGUGGGGAUGACGUCAAGUCAUCAUGGCCCUUACGAGUAGGGCUACACACGUGCUACAAUGGCGCAUACAAAGAGAAGCGACCUCGCGAGAGCAAGCGGACCUCACAAAGUGCGUCGUAGUCCGGAUCGGAGUCUGCAACUCGACUCCGUGAAGUCGGAAUCGCUAGUAAUCGUGGAUCAGAAUGCCACGGUGAAUACGUUCCCGGGCCUUGUACACACCGCCCGUCACACCAUGGGAGUGGGUUGCAAAAGAAGUAGGUAGCUUAACCUUCGGGAGGGCGCUA
This 624-nucleotide ribosomal RNA is filed under the name Pantoea sp. DJM1D4. Its description in RNAcentral is "bacterial SSU rRNA". It matches the Rfam family "Bacterial small subunit ribosomal RNA", at positions 831 to 1455 of the family's 1533-position model. The record is from RNAcentral. Lineage: Bacteria; Pseudomonadati; Pseudomonadota; Gammaproteobacteria; Enterobacterales; Erwiniaceae.